RNAcentral lists this long non-coding RNA (12072 nucleotides) under Homo sapiens (human). RNAcentral's name for it is "long non-coding RNA NONHSAT171660.1". The record is from RNAcentral. Lineage: Eukaryota; Metazoa; Chordata; Mammalia; Primates; Hominidae.
AAAAGAUAUAAAAGGGUAUAUGCAGUGGCACUAAGUGUAUUUCAUGCAGGCACAUUGCAUAUGGCUGGACAGGUAAUAUACUGCACAAUUCCAGGGAGCCCCAGACCCAUAGUCCAGAAUUUUUACACUCUUGUUUUUUUUCAAGAUAACUCCUUUUUUCUUAUUGUAUAAAUAAUACAUAUUCUUGGGGGAAAGGUGGAAAGUAGUGAAAAGUUCAAAGUACAUAAAAAUAAUCUGUAGGCCGGGCAAGGUGGCUCACGCCUGUAAUCCCAGCACUUUGGGAAGCUGAGGUGGGCAGAUCACCUGAGGUCAGGAGUUCGAGACCAACCUCAACAUGGAGAAACCCCGUCUCUACUAAAAAUACAAAAUUAGCCAGGCGUGGGGGUGCAUGCUUGUAAUCCCAGCUACUCGGGAGGCUAAGGCAGGAGAAUUGCUUGAACCUGGGAGGUGGAGGUUGCGGUGAGCCAAGACCGCACCAUUACACCCCAGCCUGGGCAACAAGAGUGAAACUCCAUCUCAAAAAAUAAUAAUAAUAAUAAUAAUAAUAAUCUAUAAUCACACUCAACUGGCAAUAGCAUCUGCCUACAUAUGGAUCUGGUUCCUUUCAGUUCUUUUAGAAACAUAUAUUUGCUAAGAGUAUUAAAUAAAACAAUUUCAUUGGUUAAUAUCUGCUAGAGUCUUCAGCUCCCUCCCAAAGCCCAACUAUAACCAGGACCUACAGAAAGCAUUGUUUUAUGCAAAUAAAACAUAUUCAGGCUGUGUGCAGUCGCUCAUGCCUAUAAUCCCAGCACUUUGGGAGACCGAGGCAGGCAGAUCACUUGAGUUCAGGAGUCUGAGACUAGCCUGGGCAACAUGGAGAAAACUGUCUCUACAAAAAGUACAAAAAUCAGCUGGGUGUAGUGGUGUGCACUUGAAGUCCCAGCUACUCGGGAGGCUGAGGCAGAAGAAUCACUUUGAUCUGGGAGGUGGAGGUUGCAGUGAGCCAAGAUCACGCCAUGCACUGCAGCCUGGGUGACAGAGCAAGGCAAUGUCUUAAAAAAAAAAAAAUUCUGGAGUGUUGGGGGGAAGGGAGAUGAAGGUAGAGCUUAGAUAUGAUCAGCAAACUUCAGGCCUCAAGACUUUCUGGCAACUUGUAGAUAAAAUUAUCCCCUUACCCUUCUGCCGUUUUAAAAAGGAGUGGGUACCAAAUGCCACAGGCUCAUGAAGAGAUUUUCAUUUCUUUACAUUGAGAUUUAAAAAAAAAAGCACAAUGCAAUAUUUUUCAAAGAGUCAAAUUCAUUCAUUCUUAUAAAAAGGGUUCCCUUCAAUAAUAUCCUACUUUUUUGAUGUUAAAAUAGGCUUUUCUUUUAGAAACAAUGAAAGUUUCAAAACAAUUUUCUCAACAAUCGCACACACACAAAAGUUGGCAACCCUCUAUCACUGCCCUAAAUUAUUUUUGUAAUUUUAAUGACUUGUGAAAUCUGAAAGUCUCAGAAUCAUUGAACUCCAUAUGAACCUCUUACUGGAUGAAGACCUCCACAGGGAAAGCUCUGUUAUUUAUUAAUUUGCCUGGCUCACCCAAGGCCCUAAAUAUACGUUCGUCAAACCACUGGACGAGGAGCUGGUGGGAGUGGGGCUUUGGAAGAGGGUGGUUGGGCUAAAGCGCCCUGGUACACUGGAACUGGAAAAGACAUUCACAUUUGCUACAUGAGCAUGAUUGCCUAAUCCCAGAUGAAAUGAAGACUCUUAGAGAUGAAAUUGCCUGAAACUACAUGGCUGGCAAAGUGCAGACUUUAGAUUACAACCCAGGGUAGUUGGACACUGGAGAUGUGACGUCUCCCACCAUGCCACGGCCAGAUCACAGACCACUAGUUAAGGACCCCUGAUCUGGGUCAGUGAAGAGCAGAAGGCCCUGAAAUCUGGCAAGACCCGUUUCCUGCGAAGCCACUAGAUCGUUUCAACUAAGUAUAUUUCAUUUCCUUCCUGGUCUGUCAGCAGAGAGAGAGGUGAAGCAGGAAGCUGAGCUGUUGGCACCUCCAGCUUAGCCCUCUGUGCUAAUGAGUUAAUUCUAAUUAGCAGCAGCAGGAACAGUUUAAUGGUGUUCCGAUCCUGACUGCACCAUCAUCAAAAAAAAAUUGAUUUUUGCAGGUGUAUGCAUUUUAAUGAAUGGGAAAAACAAGCAUUGUCCUCAAAGCUAAGAAAGGGAUAUUUCUCACUGAGUCGAAAGAGCUUACACCAGCUGUGCUGCGGGCGGGCAAGAAAGGUUAAUGGUUUCCAAGGGCUCUCAGUGUCCUUUGGUUCCCGAUUCUAAGAUCUAUGUGUACAUAGACGGUACCUUCAGAUAUCUUCAGAAAAAUCUCUCUGCUUCUUUGUAUCAGCUCCUUCUGUGUUGCCCACUGUGUUCUUCCUGGGUAAGUCCUCCCCGAACUUCAGAAUUUCAUCCAUUCAUUCAUUCACUCAUUCAUUCACUCAUUCAGUAGAAAUAUUUACACCUACUUUGUGUACAGUACAUAUGCUACAUGCUAUAGUUAUUGAUUGAUUGAUUGAGACGAAGUCUCGCCCUGUCACCCAGGCUGUAGUACAGUGGCACGAUCUCGGCUUACUGCAACCUCCGCCUCCCAGGUUCAAGCAAUUCUCCUGCCUCAGCCUCCUGAGUAGCUGAGAUUACAGGCACGUGCCACCACACCCAGCUAAUUUUUGUAUUUUUAGUAGAGAUGGGGUUUCACCAUGUUGGCCAGGCUGAUCUCUAAAUACUGACCUCAGGUGAUCCACCCACCUUGGCCUCCCAAAGUGCUGGGAUUACAGGCGCGAGCCACUGCCCCCGGCCCUAUCGGCGAUCUAAAGAUGAAUUCCCGUCUCAUGGAGGUUGGUAAGGGGGGCAAAUACACAAAUACAUGAAAAGUAACAAGUUAUGAGCCAAAGGUUGGACAGGACAAGGAAUGUGUGCUGAAUAUGGAAAUUUCACCUUGUGGAUUCUCAACUAGAACGCUGCAUUAUGAGGUCGGAGAGAACUCUGUAGAAUUCUCUCCCAGAGGGUUAUCUAUGUUCAGUCACCAUUUAUUCUUUUUAAAUUGUCUGAAGUUCUCAAAGAGGUGGGAGGGAAAGGAGGAUCAGUGGUCACAUCAUUGCUUAUCCCUGGGGUUCCAGGAAGGAUGUUACCGACAAGAAGGUAAUAAUACCUGGAAGAGGACUUAGAAAAUGUGACAGAAGUAGAGGCUAGCAUACUGGCUGACCAAAGAUAUUUUCUUGAUAUUUCUGCCCAGCAGGAUAUAUUGGCUCUGGAGUUAUUUUUUGUCUGUCUUCAAAUGAGAUUUUAAAAAGUUAUUCAUAAAAAUUGUCAACAUACAAGAAUAGUAUAAUAAACAUGCAUAUUUCCAACAGGAAGAUUCAACAGUUGCUAAUAUUUUGCCACAUUUGCUUUGUCUACCUGUGUGUUCCCAAAAUAUCUCUUAAAGAUGUUUUCCCUCUGAAACUAGCAUCCAAUUAAAACUCAUGCAUUGGUUCAUUGGUUGCCACAUCUCUUUAGUCUCUUUUAAUAUAGGAGAGUUUUUUGUUUUUUUGUUUUUUGUUUUUUUAAGACAGUCUUGCUCUGUCAUCCAGGCUGGAGUGCAGUGGUGUGAUCUCAGCUGACUGCAACCUCCGCCUCCCGGGUUCAAGCGAUUCUCCUGCCUCAGCCUCCCAAGUAGCUGGGAUUACAGGCAUCUGCCACCACGCCCAGCUAAUUUUUGUGUUUUUAGUAGACACAGGGUUUCAGCAUCUUGGCCCAGCUGGUCUUGAACUCCUGACUUCGUGAUCCACCCGUCUUGGCCUCCCAAAAUUCUGGUAUUACAGGCGUGAGCCGCCGCACCUGGCCAACAGUUCUUUGUAAAAAAAAAAAGACUCUUUGAAGAGACCAUGCUUCAAUUGUCUUACACAUUAUGGAAUGUCCCUUAUUCUGGAUUUGUCUGUUGGUUUCCUCUGAUGUCUUAAAACUUGCCCUACUAUCCUUCUGUGUUUCCUAGAAACUGUAAACUUAGUCAUAAAGAUGAUCCUGAGUGCACAGUCUUUCUUGAGACUUUCAGCCAGUAAUGAAAGACAGACAAGUGUUAGCAAAGGUGUGGAGAAAUGGGAACCCUCAUAUAUUGCUGGUGGGAAUGCAAAAUGGUGCAGCCGCUCUGGAAAAAUAGUGUGUCUAUUUCUUUAAAAGUUACAGAUAAAUUUAUCAUACAACUCAGAAAUUCCACUCGUAUCUACCCAGGAGACAUAAAGACAUAUGUCCACACAAAGACCUGCCCAUGAAUGUUCGUAGCAGCAUCGCUUUUAAUGGGCAAAAAGUGGUAACAAGUCAAAUGUCUAUCAACUGAUGUAUGAAUAAACAAAAUAUAGUAUAUCCACAGAACAUUGUUCAGCAAUCAAAAUUAAUGAACUAUUGUGAUUCCUCAAAAUAUUAAAAAUAGAACUACCAUGUGAUCAAGCAAUCUCACUUCUGGGUGUAUAUCCAAAACAAUUGAAAGCAGUGUCUCAAAGAGAUAUUUGCACACCCAUGUUCAUAACAGUAUCAUUCAAAAUAGCCAAGAGAUAGAAGCAACCCAGAUAUUCAUUGAUGCAUGAAUGGAUAACCAAAAUGUAGUAUAUACAUGCAGUGGAAUAUUUUUAGCAUUAAAAAGGAAGGAAAUUCUGUAAAUUCUGUAAAUGCUACAACAUGGAUGAAACUUGAAGAUGUUAAAUGAAAUAAGCCAGUCACAAAACGACAAUCAUUAUAUGAUUCCUCUUAUAUGCGGUAUCUAAAGUAGUGCUUUAUGCCCUUUUUAGUCUGAGUCUGGCUAUGGUUCUGCUGGUCACCUCUGGGGGUUUCAAGAGCCCGUUCCACAUCUGCAUUAGUGGUUGUGGCCUCUGGAGUCCUUUCCUAAACUGUUGCAAGCUGAACUGAUCUUAGGACUCAUGAGUUGAUCAGUUCAGCUUGCAACAAUUUAGGAAACUUCACUGGAUGCAUGGUUAGCUACAGUGACAGCCUGACUCAAAUGAGCGCUUUUUGUCACAGGUUUAAUGUAGCCGAAAGCCCAUGUGCCAUAUUGAAAACUCCUCACAACCGCAUCCUAGCUAAACUUCACUUCCAUCAUCAUAAUAACCCAGACACAAGGAUAAGCAAGAAGGCAUUAUUUAGAGGAGAAGUGGGGAUGUGAUCUUCAUCCCCAAUUCAGACAUGUGUGUUCUUUCAUGUUUCAUUUGGUUAUGUUUUCUUCCUGUGGGUGCAUGUGAUUUGUCACACACCUGCCUCUAUGAGCACUGGAAAUGUCUGUGAGGAGACCUGGUAGCUCCUGACACCUUGACAUCAGAAAUAAUUAGGAGUUGUUCCAGAGCAUUGCAUCAGAUGAUAAGCUAAAUAUUGGAAAUACAAAGCCUCUAGCCCUGAUAGGGUAAAGGUAACAGAGCCCAGCUCUAACUCUCCAGCUAUGCCUUUGAUUAUGAGGAAGGUAUAUGAAUAUUUAUAAGACUUUAAAAAAGAAUUUGGAUUAUCAUCAGAUGGCUUCAAACACAUGUAAUGUUAAAAUGUUCUAAGAAGAAGACUAAGGGAAGACAAACACUGGCCAAGGCAGGCUUUAUUUAGUCCAUUUCUCUGACCCAUUAAAUUUAUACUGAGUUGCCUCAGUAUAAAUUUCCUAUUUCUGUUAUUUACUCAUGUAAUCUAGGGUCAGUCAUACAACCAGGGAAAGUAUGAAAAUAUAUUCUAAUAUGCGGCAGGUUCUGACCCAUCAGAGGGAUGGUCCCCAAGAUUCCUGCUGUGCUAGGCAUUAAUUCUUCAGUUGGUGAAUUGUAGUGAGGUCUAGGAUGUCCUGGGAGAAGGUCUAGGACAGCCAGGGGCAAAGAGAGGCUUUGGGACAAAAGCUUGAAUAACUAUUAGCAGAAUAACUCAGAAGAUUUGGGGCAACAGUUAUUUAUCACCUGGUUUGGAUUUUUUUUUUUUUUUUUUAACAAUUGGUAUGGCUACACUAGUGCAUAAUGGCCACGUAUAACCUUUCCAUGGUUCUGUUCCUAAUCUGCAGAAUGGGGAUAAUAUCCAGGCUGCCUGCCUUGUAGAGUUGUUGAACCUUAUAUAUAGAUAUUCUCUGAGCACAGUAAAGCCUGUAAAACAGAAAUACAGAGUAAGAGUUUUUGAGAGUAAUUCCUUCCUGCUGGGGGGUGGGAAGCUUUCCCAGCUGGUGAAGGUUCUCUGGGGCUGAGGUUGUUAGAGGGCCAACUCCAAUCUGAGAUUACACAAUAUUCAAAUAAAACUAAGGACUAAAAAUAGACAGUGGGAUUGGCUCUCUAGGAGAGCACUUCAGACAGCUCCUGGGGCCAGAGUAUGGAAGACCAGGACUGAGGCUCCAGGAAGAGGAAAGAAUGACCCCUUCCAUCGCUGGGGCUGUCUCUGAUGUCUGGAUCCUUUACCUGCUCCCUGUAGGGUGAUUUGGUGUGCGUGAAUGAGGGAUGGAGGGGAGAAGAAACCCAUGUUUCAACUCUGAUCCCAUCAGGAGGUAACUGUUUUCUGUCAAAGGGAGUAUAAUUAAAAGAGUCUGACUUGUAACCGGAACUCAUUAAAUAUUUGAUAAUUAACUCUGUAGUAGUACUAGCAGGACACAGGAGAACACAGGACAGGACACAGCACUCAGAGACAGGGAGAAAGCAACUAACUAUUAAAAUGGAAGAUAAUCCAUUGAUGGGAACAGGUAAUUAGUGGCAGGCAUGUUUCAGAGCAUGUUGAAACAAUGCAAUGUCUUUAUAUCUCUCGAUUCAUUUAUUUAAUACAAAAAUUCAUGGCAUCUUAUGGUAGAUGAGGAUGUAUUUAUCUUACAUGAUGCUGCCAUCACCCUGUCCUUCUCAUAUACUUGUCUUAGUCCGUUUUGUGCUGCUAAAUCCUGGCUCAGUCACUUACUAGCUGCGUCUCUGGACAAGUAACCUAUGUGUCAAGGGUUGUCAGACUUAGCAAAUAAAAAUACAGGAUGCCUAAUUACAUCAGAAUUUCUAAUUGUCCAUGCAUAUAUGCACUCAGAUAAUAAGAAAAUAUUGUACAGAACAUACUUUAACAAUUACUUGUUUAUUUGAAAUAAAAUAUCAGUAUCUAAAUUACAUACCUCUUUAAUUGUAUUUCUCCAAUGAUUUGGCUCUCAUUAAUGGUUCUUUGUUUCGUAGAAUGUGCUUAUAAAAUUCCUUACAGUUACAGUCUAAGUUCCAUUUACAUUGCAACACAGCUUCUACAGUUAUCAUAUGCAACUCACUUUAUUCUUUUGUCCACUGAACCUUCAUUAAUGAGAAAACAUACGCAACAUUAGCAUGAUGAGCCGGUAUACUGGGCAUGUACUGGCAUAAAGUUAACAACCCAGAGAGCUUCUCUUCAAAUAUGAUUUGUUGAAGUAUAUAAUACCAUCUUUCAUGGUAUUGCUUUCCUACUCUUUAGGAUUACAUUGCAUCUCUUCAUCAACAACUUUUAAAUAAUCCACUGACAAAAAAGAGCAUUGAUAUCAACUUUUAUUUUCCUCUUCUUCAAUGCUACAUAUAAAAACUUCACUUGCUCACAGGCCAGAAGUGCAUGUAAAAGAAUAGAGUUCUCCAAGGGCUGAUACCAUUUCAAAAGAUAGUCAUGGCAAGUGCCAUAAUAAUUAUCCACUUUAAGUAGGAAUUUAUUUUCCCGUUCUUAAGUAAUAUUGUUUUUUUAAGAACAGCCUUGACACUUAAAGGGAUAAUUUUUGGUCAAUAUUUUCUUUAAUGUACUCAAGAAGUUCUUUUAAGCUCUGGAGUACUUCAAUAACACUGUUUUCUUCAGUUUGCAUGAUCCUAUUGCUAAAAGAGAUAUUAAAAAUUAGGAACUAGAAAUUAAUAGGCUUCUAUGGAUUGUUUAAAGAGUCAGCUGCAUUUGUUCAAGAGAGCUAACAGGGUUUUGGAUGAGAGGGAAUUGAAAAACUGUAUCAGGUCUGCAAGACCAUCCUCACCCUCAGAAAUGUACUAGAAGAUGGCUUUAACCAUUCUACGACGUAAAUGUUCUUCAGAACAUACUGUUCUAUACAAUAAAACAUACAGUGUUAUCUGUCGCCUAAAAAUAAUAAAUACUUUUUUUUUGAGACAGGGUCUUGCUCUCUUGCCCAGGCUGGAGUGCAGUGGCAUGAUCAUAGCUCACUGCAGCCUUGACCUGGUCUCAAGUGAUCCUCCUAGCUUAGCCUCCUGAGUAGCUGCAAUUGUAGGCACACACCACCAUCCCUAGCUAAUUUUUAUUUUUUUGUUUGAAUUUUUGUUUUUAACUUUUAUUUUAAGUUCAGGGGUACAUAUGCAGGUUUGUUAUAUAGGUAAACUUGUGUCAUGGGGGUUUCUUGUACAGAUUAUUUCAUCACCCAGGAUUAAGCCUAGUAUCUGUUGGUUAUUUUUUUCUGUUUUUAUAAAAUGAGAUUUCAUACUUCUAUAUUGUAACUCACAAGAGGAAAUAUUUUUCUGUUGCAUUCCAGAACACAUAUACACGCAACCCCCAAAGUUUCAUAAAACAAUACUUAUCCUGCAAUAUGUAAUGCAUUAAAAAUUUUUCUUGAAAAAAAUGCUGGUUGCAAACCGUGAAUGGUUGCGAUCCAUGGUUUGAAAAGCACAGCUCUAACACAGGUAACAUUUAUAAAGCCAUACCAUAGCCAGACACUAUACAUUCACAUUUAUUACCCUCGUUUAAUCCUUCCAUCAACUUCAUGAUUUAGAUUAUCAUCCCCGUUUUACAGAUGAGAAAACUGAGGCUUAAGGAAGUUACUGCUCAAGGUCACAUUUUGGUAGUAAGGUGUGGUAGUAAGUUGCCAAGCAGGGAUUUGAACCAAAGACUGAAGCUAGGAACCAAAUGCUUGGUCACCAGACUAUAUGGCCUUAGCUGCAGAAAUUCAGGGCAUACUCAUGUCCUUGGUAGAGCACUCGGAUCCCCCAGAAGAGUUUUGGCAAACAUUCCUGUGCAGCGCUUGUCAUCACUCCUUGGAUCCGCUUCAUUUGCUCUUCGUGUGUGCGCGUGUGCGAGGACAGAGCGGGAUCCCUGGGGGCCACUCUGCUUCGCUAUGGCCAUCAUACUGCUCAAGUCGGCAGGGAUGUUUUCUUGAGGGAGAGGGUGGGAAAAAGAGGAUUUCAGUUUGAGUGUACACUGGUCUGUGGCUUGUUUCUGCUUCACUAUGAUUCUUUAUCUUUUAUGAGGUGAUACUAAGUCAGAUAUGUAUUUAAAGGAUAUAAGAAAAAGCCACGUGGGUGUUGAAGUUCACAGAUGGGAAGCAAAGAUCAGGGCAUGUGCACGUAUCCAGGGUGCUAACAUGUACCUGGCUCUAAACUACUCACUGACCGCCGCUCCCAUCUGGAGGUCCAUUGGUUCUACUCUUUUCUCUUUCCCUUCUGGGCUGGUUCUUCACCUAAAGGGCCCUUGGUCUAGGGAUGGGUUCAAUUGAUGAGACGCACAAGGAGUGGUAGGCAGGCUAAUAAUUUGGAUCCACUUCAUACAGACUUUUCACUGAUGUCUUGGCAGUCAUUUGUUGGGGAGGCCGCAGAUGAUGAGGGAAGGAGGUCUCAGCGGCUUCUCAGCAGUGGGAGCAUAUGCCAGUCUCACAGUCAGCCCACUCGACUGCACAAUGCUGAGCUCAGCAGCACACAGGACCCAUAUCACCAGCGGGCAUCAGGGGCCACCUGGAGUGUGACCCCUGCAAGCCCCAAGUGGAUUUUCAAACUUGAGAGUUAGUCAGAAUCACCUGGAGGCUGUUAAAAUACCAACUGCUGGGCCCCACUCUCAGUUUCUGGUUCAGUAGGCCUGGAGUGGGGACUGAGAACAUGCAUUUCUUUUCUUUUCUUUUUUUUUUUUUUUUGAGACAGUCUCGCUCUGUUGCCCAGGCUGGAGUGCAGUGGUGCAACUCGGCUCACUGCAACCUCUGCCUCCCUGGUUCAAACCAUUCUUUUGCCUCGAUUUCUGUAGUAGCUGGGAUUACAGGCUCUUGCCACCAUGCCUGGCUCACCAUGUUGUCCAGGCUGGUCUUGAACCUGACCUCAAAUGAUCCACCCACCUCAGCCUCCCAAAGCGCUGGGAUUACAGAUGUGAGCUACAGCGCCCAGCCAAGAAUGUGCCUUUCUGACCAGUUCUCAGGUGAUGCCGAUGGAUGUUGAUGUUGUUGGUCUGGGGACCUCAAGAAAAGCAACCUUGAGGAGGAUUCUAGCAAAGUCUCUCCACAUUUCUUUGAUAUUUACGGGCUCCUAGAUGGGGCCCCUUCUCUCUACUGGCUGGCUCACCCUUUAAGCUGAUGUGCUGCAAGUCUUGAAAAGAGAGAAAUAAAAAAUCCAUUAGUCUGGCUGGGAAAGCCCCACCCAGCCUCGCAGAGAGGAGUUUCUGUGUGAUUCCAAACUCACACAGGUGUUUAAAAUGUUUGUUAAUUUACUUCACGUGAGGUUGCAGUGAGCUGAGAUUGUGCCACUGCACUCCAGCCUGGGUGACAGAAUGGGACUCUGUCUCAAAACAAACAAACAAACAAACACGCAAAUUUACCCCACCUGAAAGGUUUCUGCAUCCGGGGUUGGUGGAUUCUAACUACCUAAGCGGCCUAGCCACAUGACCAAAAGCUGGUAAUAUUUUGGGCUCUUUCAAGAGGGGAAGUACAGGGCUGGGCACAGUGGCUCAUACCUGUAAUCCCAGCACUCUGGGAGGCUGAGGCAGGACGAUUGCUUGAGGCCAGGCAUUUGGGACUGGCCUGGGCAACAUAGUGAGACCCUGACUAUUAAAAAAUAAAAAAAAAAAAUAGCUAGGCAUGAUGGUACAUGCCUGUAGCCCUAGACACAAGGAGGCCAAGGCACAAGGAGCACUUGAGCCCAGGAGUUCAAGGCUGCAGGGAGCUGUGAUUGUGCCACUGCACUCCAGCCUGGGAGACACAGCAAGACCUUGUCUCAAACAAAAAAGAAGUACAGUAUGAAAAGGACAGUAUAGUAUGAAAAGGAGACUUAGCACAUGCACUUCUACCCAAAUGUACUUUGUGUACAUGAUGUCACCAAGCCCAUUCAAAUAUGCAUAGAUUAUAGAUUUGCUUGCGCCUAAGCCUUUUGCAUAUUCAGUCUGGUUGCUAUGAUCACAAACCUGAAGUUGACAGAAGGAAAGAAACCUGGGGAUCAACUAAACCAACAAGGUGCAUCUUUAUUUUUCACUCCCACUCCCCAGAGCCCAGGUUCUGAAAGACUGUGGCUUCUACUCAUUCAUUUCCCAUGAAUGCACCAAUCAGCACUAUCAGAACUCCUCUGCCCAAGCCAAAAGCUGGGGCUGCCUUUGUGCAGAAAGAGGUCCUCUUUCAUUACAUCUGGAAAUACUGAGGAGAGCUCAGGGGUGCUUUUUCUUCCUGCGUGGGAACCAGCUGGGAACCAAUCAAUGGGCUGCAAAUGACGGCCACAUUCCUCUGUCACUGUGCCCUCAGCAAAAUGUUAUCAGUCUCAGUGAAAACGGAAUAGGAAAAAUGCGAGGAGCCUUGAGGUAUUCCUAUCUUCUGAGUGCAGCUGGCUUGAGAGCUGAGGAACAUUCAUUCUUUCUAGCCAAAGGCCUAUAAAAACCCAGAGGUAGAAUCCUAAGGGAUGUCUGAAGGAACCCCACUCUAUGGGAAAGGUAAACAUACUAUGCACAAGUUUAAAGGAUUCAUUUCUAUUUUUAGGACUCAGAAAUAAAAUUCAAUGCAUCUCCAUCACUACUGACUGCAUUCCUUAGAAAUGCCAGUGGGAAAACAACUAACCUGGCGCACUGUAAAGAAUGCCCUUGAAGAUGGAGUAUUAUCAACCUCUCUCCCCUAGGGGAGGGCCAGAGCUACAGUGCUGCUGUAGUCAUUGAAUACAAUCACACUUCUUUCAUAUACCUAAGUGAACCGUUUCCCUCGCAUCCGUGUGAAGAGACCACCAAACAGGCUUUGCGUGAGCAAUAAAGCUGUUUAUUUCACCUGGGUGCAGGCGGGCUGAGUCCGAAAAGAGAGUCAGCGAAGGGAGAUAGGGGUGGGGCCGUUUCAUAGGAUUUGGGUAGGUAAAGGAAAAAGGGGGGUUGUUCUCUGGCAGGCGGGAGUGGGGGUCACAAGGUGCUCAGUAGGGGAGCUUUUGAGCCAGGAUGAGCCAGGAGAAGGA